UACGGGGGGGGGAAGCGUUGUUCGGAAUUACUGGGCGUAAAGGGCUCGUAGGCGGCCAACUAAGUCAGACGUGAAAUCCCUCAGCUUAACUGGGGAACUGCGUCUGAUACUGGAUGGCUUGGAUCCGGGAGAGGGAUGCGGAAUUCCAGGUGUAGCGGUGAAAUGCGUAGAUAUUGGGAGGAACACCAGUGGCGAAGGCGGCUCACUGGACCGGUACUGACGCUGAGGAGCGAAAGCGUGGGGAGCGAACAGG
This 253-nucleotide ribosomal RNA is filed under the name uncultured bacterium. RNAcentral describes it as "partial 16S ribosomal RNA". It matches the Rfam family "Bacterial small subunit ribosomal RNA", at positions 524 to 776 of the family's 1533-position model. The record is from RNAcentral.